GACGACACUAAGAGCAGUCACUCAGACAGGAAGCACAUGGUGAAGUGUCUCCCGACGUCAAACAGGGCUUUUCCACGCUUCUUCGCGUGCACUCGGAACCACUUUGACAAUAUUUACUGCUGCAAAGUGGGACAAGAAGAAAGUUCAAGGUCUUUUAGCGCGCGGUCUAUGUAUAUACAUAGGCAUAGCGUGAUAUUUUCAGGAAAAUUAUAGAAAAUCGCAAAGGCGCCGUUGACUUUCAUGGCAGAAUACAUUAAUAGUGGACAGAGCGGCGAUAACGUCCCGGAGGACGGACUGACGGGACAGCAGUUGGCAAACAGAGGAGAUGGACUCACAUACAAUGACUUCCUCAUUCUGCCAGGCUACAUUGACUUCACUGCAGAUCAAGUGGACCUGACCUCGGCACUGACGAAACAAAUCACAAUGAAAACUCCCUGUGUCUCUUCCCCAAUGGACACAGUCACUGAGGCGAACAUGGCCAUUGCUAUGGCACUAACAGGUGGGAUUGGCUUUAUCCACCAUAACUGCACGCCAGAGUUCCAGGCCAAUGAAGUCCGUAAAGUCAAGAGGUACGAGCAGGGCUUCAUCACAGACCCGGUUGUGAUGAGCCCUCAUCACCUAGUGCGAGACGUCUUUGAGGCCAAGGCCCGCUACGGCUUCUGUGGUAUUCCCAUCACGGACGAUGGCAAAAUGGGUAGCAAGCUGGUUGGCAUAAUCUCUUCCAGGGACAUCGAUUUCCUCAAGGAUGAGGAACACAGUUUGCCACUCAGUGAGGUGAUGACAAAGAGGGAGGAUCUCGUGAUUGCUCCUGCUGGGGUAACAUUGAAAGAAGCCAAUGAAAUUCUCCAAAGGAGUAAGAAAGGUAAACUUCCCAUUGUUAAUGAAGAUGGCUGCCUUGUGUCCAUCAUUGCUCGAACUGAUCUGAAAAAGAACAGGGACUUCCCUUUGGCCUCCAAAGACUCCCGCAAACAGCUGCUCUGUGGGGCUGCCAUUGGCACACACAGUGAUGACAAAUACCGUCUGGACCUUCUAGUGCAGAGUGGGGUUGACGUUAUUGUGCUGGAUUCCUCUCAGGGCAACUCAUUAUUCCAAAUCAACAUGAUAAAAUACAUUAAAGAGAAGUACCCAAAUCUGCAGGUCAUUGGUGGGAAUGUGGUCACUACUGCCCAGGCUAAAAACUUGAUUGAGGCAGGAGUGGACGGACUCAGAGUUGGAAUGGGAAGCGGCUCCAUUUGCAUCACACAGGAAGUACUGGCGUGCGGCAGACCUCAAGCCACAGCAGUUUUUAAGGUGUCCGAGUACGCUCGACACUUUGGUGUGCCCGUUAUCGCUGACGGUGGCAUCCAGAACGUUGGACACAUCGUAAAAGCCCUGGCCCUCGGCGCAUCCACAGUUAUGAUGGGCUCUCUGCUUGCUGCUACCACCGAAGCUCCUGGUGAAUAUUUCUUCUCAGAUGGUAUCAGACUAAAGAAGUAUCGAGGCAUGGGCUCCCUGGAUGCCAUGGACAAAAACUUGGGGUCCCAGACAAGAUACUUCAGUGAAAGUGACAAGAUCAAAGUUGCUCAGGGCGUUUCAGGAGCUGUGCAGGACAAAGGCUCCAUCCACAAGUUUGUUCCCUACCUACUAGCUGGCAUUCAACAUUCGUGUCAGGAUAUCGGCACCAAGAGCCUCAGUCAGCUCAGGUAUACACAGAGCCAUGAUGUACAGUGGAGAGCUGAGAUUUGAAAAGAGAACUGCAUCGGCUCAAAUGGAGGGCGGCGUCCACAGUCUGCACAGUUAUGAGAAGCGUCUUUUUUGAAGAUCCUUCAGCUGGAGAUUAGCCUUCCAUGCAACCAUGCCAAACUGUCCAGGUGUUGUCAUAUUAUGCUGUUACAAAUAUGCACACAAGCAUGAGCUCAGUGCAUUUCUGUACAUCGUCUUCCAUUUUUAGCAUCUUCUAUGCAUCCUCGAGUAAUGUGUGAACUAAGCCUUAUCAGUCAGUGCACAUGUGACUGUGUCCUCUAUUGCCUUCCACGUUAAUACGUGUCUGAUGCCCAGACUUGUUUGUUUUCACAAGAAUAAAAGUUCUUAUUUUUCAAACAGUCCUUAUUUAAUUUUGUUCAGUGCAGUUUUUUUCAGUUGAAGUCUAAAGUAUCUGCAUAAAUUACUUUUAACAAUGGAUUUUUAUUUUGAUAAGGUUUUAGUCAUAUCCAAUAU
RNA transcript from Corythoichthys intestinalis (scribbled pipefish), 2196 nucleotides. It is a transcript of the gene named IMP (inosine 5'-monophosphate) dehydrogenase 2, with no coding region annotated. Lineage: Eukaryota; Metazoa; Chordata; Actinopteri; Syngnathiformes; Syngnathidae. The record is from RefSeq and is a predicted model, not a curated record. The transcript is spliced from 14 exons.